Molecule: ribosomal RNA, 158 nt
Filed under: Phialocephala fortinii
Lineage: Eukaryota; Fungi; Ascomycota; Leotiomycetes; Helotiales; Mollisiaceae
Description: 5.8S ribosomal RNA
Rfam family: 5.8S ribosomal RNA
About the family: 5.8S ribosomal RNA (5.8S rRNA) is a component of the large subunit of the eukaryotic ribosome. It is transcribed by RNA polymerase I as part of the 45S precursor that also contains 18S and 28S rRNA.
Source: RNAcentral
AAACUUUCAACAACGGAUCUCUUGGUUCUGGCAUCGAUGAAGAACGCAGCGAAAUGCGAUAAGUAAUGUGAAUUGCAGAAUUCAGUGAAUCAUCGAAUCUUUGAACGCACAUUGCGCCCCGUGGUAUUCCGCAGGGCAUGCCUGUUCGAGCGUCAUUU